This 72-nucleotide transfer RNA is filed under the name Kwoniella dejecticola CBS 10117. Its description in RNAcentral is "tRNA-Pro (CGG) (tRNA-Pro-CGG-1-1)". It matches the Rfam family "tRNA". Rfam says of the family: Transfer RNA (tRNA) molecules are approximately 80 nucleotides in length. Their secondary structure includes four short double-helical elements and three loops (D, anti-codon, and T loops). Further hydrogen bonds mediate the characteristic L-shaped molecular structure. tRNAs have two regions of fundamental functional importance: the anti-codon, which is responsible for specific mRNA codon recognition, and the 3' end, to which the tRNAs corresponding amino acid is attached (by aminoacyl-tRNA synthetases). tRNAs cope with the degeneracy of the genetic code in two manners: having more than one tRNA (with a specific anti-codon) for a particular amino acid; and 'wobble' base-pairing, i.e. permitting non-standard base-pairing at the 3rd anti-codon position. Lineage: Eukaryota; Fungi; Basidiomycota; Tremellomycetes; Tremellales; Cryptococcaceae. The record is from RNAcentral.
GCCGCCAUAGUGUAGUGGUAGCAUGUAUCCUUCGGGUGGAUGAGGUCUUCGGUUCAAUCCCGGAUGGUGGCC